This 1008-nucleotide ribosomal RNA is filed under the name Liquorilactobacillus mali. Its description in RNAcentral is "bacterial SSU rRNA". It matches the Rfam family "Bacterial small subunit ribosomal RNA", at positions 29 to 1010 of the family's 1533-position model. The record is from RNAcentral. Lineage: Bacteria; Bacillati; Bacillota; Bacilli; Lactobacillales; Lactobacillaceae.
GCCGACGCUGGCGGCGUGCCUAAUACAUGCAAGUCGAACGCAAAACUUUCACCGAAUGCUUGCAUUCACCGAAAGUUUUGAGUGGCGAACGGGUGAGUAACACGUGGGUAACCUGCCCAGAAGAGGGGGAUAACACUUGGAAACAGGUGCUAAUACCGCAUAACAAUAAAAACCGCAUGGUUUUUAUUUAAAAGAUGGUUUUGCUAUCACUUCUGGAUGGACCCGCGGCGUAUUAGCUAGUUGGUAGGGUAAAGGCUUACCAAGGCAAUGAUACGUAGCCGAACUGAGAGGUUGAUCGGCCACAUUGGGACUGAGACACGGCCCAAACUCCUACGGGAGGCAGCAGUAGGGAAUCUUCCACAAUGGACGAAAGUCUGAUGGAGCAACGCCGCGUGAGUGAAGAAGGUUUUCGGAUCGUAAAACUCUGUUGUUAGAGAAGAACGUGUGUGAGAGUAACUGUUCAUGCAGUGACGGUAUCUAACCAGAAAGCCACGGCUAACUACGUGCCAGCAGCCGCGGUAAUACGUAGGUGGCAAGCGUUGUCCGGAUUUAUUGGGCGUAAAGGGAACGCAGGCGGUUUUUUAAGUCUGAUGUGAAAGCCUUCGGCUUAACCGAAGUCAUGCAUUGGAAACUGAAAGACUUGAGUGCAGAAGAGGAGAGUGGAACUCCAUGUGUAGCGGUGAAAUGCGUAGAUAUAUGGAAGAACACCAGUGGCGAAAGCGGCUCUCUGGUCUGUAACUGACGCUGAGGUUCGAAAGUGUGGGUAGCAAACAGGAUUAGAUACCCUGGUAGUCCACACCGUAAACGAUGAAUGCUAAGUGUUGGAGGGUUUCCGCCCUUCGGUGCUGCAGCUAACGCAUUAAGCAUUCCGCCUGGGGAGUACGACCGCAAGGUUGAAACUCAAAGGAAUUGACGGGGCCCGCACAAGCGGUGGAGCAUGUGGUUUAAUUCGAAGCAACGCGAGAACCUUACCAGGUCUUGACAUUUUCUGACAGCCUAAGAGAUUAG